GCCAGGUGUGGUGGCGUGUACCUGUAAUCCCAGCUACUCAGGAGGCUGAGGCAGGAGAAUUGCUUGAAUCCAGGAGGCUGAGGUUGCAGUGAGCUGAGAUCGGACCACUGCACUCCAGCCUGGGCAACAGAGCAAGACUCUGCCUUAA
RNAcentral lists this signal recognition particle RNA (148 nucleotides) under Homo sapiens (human). RNAcentral's name for it is "Metazoan signal recognition particle RNA". It matches the Rfam family "Metazoan signal recognition particle RNA". Rfam says of the family: The signal recognition particle (SRP) is a universally conserved ribonucleoprotein. It is involved in the co-translational targeting of proteins to membranes. The eukaryotic SRP consists of a 300-nucleotide 7S RNA and six proteins: SRPs 72, 68, 54, 19, 14, and 9. The record is from Rfam by way of RNAcentral. Lineage: Eukaryota; Metazoa; Chordata; Mammalia; Primates; Hominidae.